AGGGGCUUAGGAUAGCCUUAGACCAAGAGCCUUCAAAGCUCUAAGCGAGAGUUAGAAUCUCUCAGCCCCUG
This 71-nucleotide transfer RNA is filed under the name Myersina macrostoma (bigmouth shrimpgoby). RNAcentral describes it as "tRNA-Trp". It matches the Rfam family "tRNA". From Rfam's summary of the family: Transfer RNA (tRNA) molecules are approximately 80 nucleotides in length. Their secondary structure includes four short double-helical elements and three loops (D, anti-codon, and T loops). The record is from RNAcentral. Lineage: Eukaryota; Metazoa; Chordata; Actinopteri; Gobiiformes; Gobiidae.